UUUUUUUUUAAAUUAGCUAUCACCACCCACCAUAGGAAGGGCAGCUCUGUGCCAUGGACACUGUGACAGGUAUACAGUCAGGUUCUCUCUGAUCUAGAGAACAAAUAUCACUAUGGAUGUCAGCUUGACUAAACAGCAAAGCAAAGGAGGCAAUUAAAAAAAAUAAAAAAGAAAGCAAAAUUGUAUUUAAGCAAAGAAAACAGAAAUAAAUUUUAACAGAUUGAAUGCAAAAUCCACAAAAAUGCAAGUCAAGGGGAAGAAUAAUACAAAAAACCCCAGACAUCUUCUGAACAAUUUAUCUUAAGUGGAGGAAUCAAAUCUUCUAAUGUUAUUUUCUUCUUUCCAAAACAUCAAGGAUCAAAAGCAAUGCAACCUUGAUACAACUGCAGCAAUCGGAGUCACUGCACAGAAAUGAGGCCUCUGUAGUGGCAUUUGUUCUAGAAGUUGAGGAGAUGACUGUAUUUGAACCCUUUGGGGCAGAAGGGGCUACAACAGAGGGUCUGUCCAAAACUGAACUGCUAAAGAGGUUAUAGCACCAGUUACCAGGACCAGGCAGUAUUCAUUCACCUACUCUAGUACAAUACAGGAAUGAACAAUCUGAAUUACUAAUGAUAGUAUGUAACCUUUUGUUUUUCUUUCAUACGGGAAUGCAGAAAAACAAAGCAAUGACUACCAUAAAAGCUACCAUGGAAAUAUCAGCACCCACAGACCUCUAAGCCAGAUGUCAUAUUGGACACAUUAACAGAGGCUACAAUCAAGAUCAGAAUUAGCUGAUGUCUGGAUACACGCAAAUUACUCAAGUCUUUUUUUUCUCAUUCCCUUUGGAGCAGAAUGUUGAACUAAACAGACUCCACCCAUUGAUAUGGUAAUUCUUACUUAUAGAACUCAUUCAUCCACAUCGAUGUUUUGGUCCUACUGCUUUCCAUCACAAACCUAUAUCUAAUCUUACAAAAAGCAAAUGAAGGGUAAAUAAGGUAAAGAACAUCUUCCAGACAGCCAGACAGAAACUCAAAGUCCAUCUGGAAAUGAUCCAACUCAGAAGAAUCUGAGGUCUGGGUUGAAAGGACCUUUGAAAGACCAUCUAGUUCCAACCUCUCUGCCACAGGCAGAGACACCUUCCACUAGACCAGGUUGCUCAAAGCCCCAUCCAGCCUGGCGUUGAACACUGCCAAGGAUAGGGCAGCCACAACUUCUCUGGGCAAUCUGUGCCAGUGCCUCAUCACCCUCACAGUAAAGAACUUCUUCCUAAUAUUUAACCUAAAGUCUCCCCUCUUCCAGUUUAAAGCCAUUACCCUUUGUCCUAUCCCUAAAUACCCUCGUAAAAUAUCCCUCUCCAGCUCUCUUGCCCCUUUAGGC
This 1356-nucleotide long non-coding RNA is filed under the name Strigops habroptila (Kakapo). Its description in RNAcentral is "lncRNA (ENSSHBG00005007142.1)". The record is from RNAcentral. Lineage: Eukaryota; Metazoa; Chordata; Aves; Psittaciformes; Psittacidae.